AGAGUUUGAUCCUGGCUCAGAGUGAACGCUGGCGGCAUGCCUAACACAUGCAAGUCGAACGGUAACGGGCCCGCAAGGGUGCCGACGAGUGGCGGACGGGUGAGGAACACAUCGGAAUCUGCCCGGUUGUGGGGGAUAACGUAGGGAAACUUACGCUAAUACCGCAUACGACCGAGAGGUGAAAGCGGGGGAUCGCAAGA
Molecule: ribosomal RNA, 200 nt
Filed under: uncultured bacterium
Lineage: Bacteria
Description: partial 16S ribosomal RNA
Rfam family: Bacterial small subunit ribosomal RNA
Source: RNAcentral